Molecule: long non-coding RNA, 3183 nt
Organism: Peromyscus californicus insignis
Lineage: Eukaryota; Metazoa; Chordata; Mammalia; Rodentia; Cricetidae
Exons: 5
Source: RefSeq, a predicted model, not a curated record
UGGAGUGGAAGCAGCAGAACCGGCAGCGCGGGUCGGGCCAGGUCGCGGUGGAGGAGCUGCGGCUGCGGGCUGCCGGGCGCCAGAGAGCGCUUUGUGCGGGAGCGCUGAAUGGAGUUGGGCUGUGUGCGGGCGGGCUGGCACGGAUUAGCCUGCUUUCCCAUGAACUACAAAAGAAUGCUCGAAUCUGGGGCAUUUGUCAUCAAGGGGCAGGCUGCGCAGGAUGCAAGAUUUAGUUGGUGCAUUGCAACCUGGCCUCAGCUGCAGCCCCAAAGGUUGAGAGCAAGAUAGAGGCAGCCACACUUGGACCUCAAGGAUAUGCUCUUUCCCCUGACCUGCCAGGGACAAAUGGCUCAGAAGGAUGGCCUCACCCAGCCUCACCUCUGGAUGCCCAGCAGGAAGAAUCUCUCUCCUCCUCCCAACAGUUGCAACUCGAGGAUUCCUGGAGCCAAGAAGUCGGAUCCAACCUAGGAAACAUCUUUAAAACUAAGGUCCUAGUACUGAGCUCCUAAAACACCUUGGAAUUUCCUGAGUGGAGGAGGUAGUGAGCAAAGUGAUAAGGAAGCUAGUUAAUAUGCUUCGUAAAGACCCUAAACCACAGGCUUUGGAGAACUUCCAGGUUGGUGAACACAGAGGAGCUGUGAGGGUCAAGGCCCCAAGGAACCUCACAGCCCUUCCCCUAUACCUGACUCUAUGCAUCCCUUCCUUCUGGCUGUUCCUGAGUUUGUGCCCUUCUCAGUGAACCAGUAAACAUGACCAAGCUACCUACCCCAAGGAGGAUGAAUGUAGGGAACUCGUGAUUUAUAGCCAGUCAGGCACAAGUUUGGUAGGCCAGUACAAAACCAGCAAUCUGCAGUGUGGACAGUCCUGUGGGGCCCGGGGGCUUGUGCUAACUCUGGGAAGCCAGUGUGAAGAUGAGUCAAACUGAAGGACACACUUGGAUGGUGUGAGGAAGUAUCCCUCUGCACCCUUUUGUCAUCAGCACUGAAGUGUAUGUGAGUACAGAGAAAGAAAUCUCUAGGGCGUUGGAGUAAGGUGUAGUGACUCUGUUUCCGGUUUGUUUGUUUUCUCACUAUGGCCCCCAGACACUCUUCUUUCUAACUCAAUGUCCUUCCCUGGUGCCAAGCCUUCUCCUGAGGUUUCCCCACACUAUCCUUGUCCUGGGAGCCUAGAGUUUAAUGUGGCCACCCGACCCCCACGCUGACACAAUGUGUGAGUCCACUGGUGUCUGCUUGGAGUCUGUGUAGGCAAAGGAAGGGCAAGAGGGAGGUUGGAGGGUGGAGGAGGGCUGGUCUUCCUCUCCUGAGGUGAAGGGUGGGCACAUCUUGCCUCUCCACGGCCACAAUGGGAAGUGUUGUGUUGGUGGCCUUGACCUUCUAUUAUUUUUAAGCAGCUGUAGCCGAACAAAAGACAAAUGAAAACUUUCUGUGGCUGACAUUGAAAAAAUUGCUGGCAUGUCAUAUGGUAACUCAUUAAGGAAUUCCCAUUCAUCAAAACAAUUCAUUUUUGUUUCAAGAGGCAAAAUAAGCAGUUUCUUGCUGAUUUCAGUGUCAGCCUCUCUGACCACUUGUGACUCUGGCUCAUUUGCAGUAAUUUUUAUUCUUAAAUUUCAAGAGCCUUGGGGGCCUGUUUAGAAUAGCUGAAGUCAAAUUCGGCUAUUUCACUUAGAUAAAUCCAUGUGAUCUCAUUUCCCUCUUUAUGUUUUUUUUUCUUUUACAAUUCUAAUCUCCAAGACUAGCAUUUAAUCAUUUUUAAAAGAUGGGUAGAUACACACCACGUGGGUUCUUUUUUUUUCUUCCAGAAAUUGAAAUAUACCCAAAGAAUUUGAGUCCAUCACUGUACUGUGCGUAGGAAAAUGGUCUCUGGGUGAUUUUAAAAUGCUCUCCUAAUGAGCGGAAUUGUCUCAGAGUUUCUCAGAAUCCUGGGCCUUAAUUAAAUUUUAUAAAUGUUCAGUUUGUAAAAUCUGUCAUUAUAAAGCAUAUGUAGUUUGUGUUUGUAGCUACAUUUGAUUAAGCACCACAGAAAUCCAACUUUGCACCUCCCGCUUAACAUUUUUUUCCUCAAGAGUCUUUAGUCAGGAUUAUUUCCCAAUCACUGAUUUUAUACUCCUCAUCUCUGUAGGCUCUAUCUCUCAGAAGUCUCCGUUCUCCAUCCUUCCCCCCAUUUUCACUCCUGUAAGCCCUGCUCCCUUGUCAACCUCUCAGUGUCGGCUCUCAUCCGUCACUAUUAUUCUCUUUUCUCCCUGGGUAGAUCAGGGAGAGGCUCAAAACCCUGGCCGAGGCCAGGUGAGCAUUUAAAUGUGCCAGCAGGGAACAAUGAGAAACAAAGGCAAGGCCCGUGCUGGAGCAAGGGGAAACUGGAGACUUGUGAGGGAGAAGGUCCCUCUGCUCACCUCCAGCCCAGGCUCCGAAAAGAUUUCCAAACUGGAAUCUCCAGACCCCACUUCCAAGACAAGCCCACACUUCAGACUUUAGUAAAUAAAUAAAUACAUACAUACAUACAUAAAUAAAUACAUAAAAUAAAAAUAAAAAUAAAAAUUCUCAGCUUUAGAAACUACAGUUCUUUAAAAAACCUUAAGAUCACUGUCCUUAAAAGCCAACAAAUAUCCUAUCAUCCUUGGGAAUUCUUUUACUUGAGUGUUAAAAUGUACUAAUUGUGAGAGACUGAUUUUCAUCCCUUGCAUGUGCUUGUCUGAGGAUUUUGCAAGUUCUGGUAGUCAUCUGGUAAACUCAUGUUGGUGAGCUUGCUGCUCCUCAAAUGGCCUUUCUGAACCCAGGACCAGAGCUCCUGGGGAAGGGUGAACGACUGCAAGUUUCCCUGGGUGUGAGGUUUCCCUUUGGCCUCAUGUCAAGCUCAGGAGGUCAAGGAAAGGUGGGUGAGAAAGAAAAAACACAUCCUUGAACAUUCACAUCCAGGUACACACACACACACACACACACACACACACACACACACACACACACACAUACACACACACACACACACACACAGAUUCACACCCAUAUACCCAUGCACAUUCACAUCCAAGCACACACACUCACAGAUUCACACUCAUAUACUCAUGCACAUUCACAUUCAAACACACACACACACACAUACACACACACACACACACACACACACACACACACACACACAGAUCCACACCCAUAUACCCAUGCACAUUCACAUACACACACACAUACA